GACGAACGCUGGCGGCGUGCCUAAUACAUGCAAGUAGAACGCUGAAGAGAGGAGCUUGCUCUUCUUGGAUGAGUUGCGAACGGGUGAGUAACGCGUAGGUAACCUGCCUGGUAGCGGGGGAUAACUAUUGGAAACGAUAGCUAAUACCGCAUGAAAUUGCUUAUCGCAUGAUAAUUAAUUGAAAGAUGCAAUUGCAUCACUACCAGAUGGACCUGCGUUGUAUUAGCUAGCUGGUGAGGUAACGGCUCACCAAGGCGACGAUACAUAGCCGACCUGAGAGGGUGAUCGGCCACACUGGGACUGAGACACGGCCCAGACUCCUACGGGAGGCAGCAGUAGGGAAUCUUCGGCAAUGGGGGGAACCCUGACCGAGCAACGCCGCGUGAGUGAAGAAGGUUUUCGGAUCGUAAAGCUCUGUUGUUAAGGAAGAACGAGUGUGAGAAUGGAAAGUUCAUACUGUGACGGACUAACCAGAA
This 476-nucleotide ribosomal RNA is filed under the name Streptococcus sanguinis. RNAcentral describes it as "bacterial SSU rRNA". It matches the Rfam family "Bacterial small subunit ribosomal RNA", at positions 28 to 488 of the family's 1533-position model. The record is from RNAcentral. Lineage: Bacteria; Bacillati; Bacillota; Bacilli; Lactobacillales; Streptococcaceae.